GAUGAACGCUGGCGGCGUGCCUAAUACAUGCAAGUCGAGCGAACAGACGAGGAGCUUGCUCCUCUGACGUUAGCGGCGGACGUGUGAGUAACACGUGGAUAACCUACCUAUAAGACUGGGAUAACUUCGGGAAACCGGAGCUAAUACCGGAUAAUAUAUUGAACCGCAUGGUUCAAUAGUGAAAGACGGUUUUGCUGUCACUUAUAGAUGGAUCCGCGCCGCAUUAGCUAGUUGGUAAGGUAACGGCUUACCAAGGCAACGAUGCGUAGCCGACCUGAGGGGGUGAUCGGCCACACUGGAACUGAGACACGGUCCAGACUCCUACGGGAGGCAGCAGUAGGGAAUCUUCCGCAAUGGGCGAAAGCCUGACGGAGCAACGCCGAGUGAGUGAUGAAGGUCUUCGGAUCGUAAAACUCUGUUAGUAGGGAAGAACAAAUGUGUAAGUAACUAUGCACGUCUUGACGGUACCUAAUCAGAAAGCCACGGCUAACUACGUG
Molecule: ribosomal RNA, 497 nt
Filed under: uncultured bacterium
Lineage: Bacteria
Description: partial 16S ribosomal RNA
Rfam family: Bacterial small subunit ribosomal RNA
Source: RNAcentral